UCCUGGUGGCGAGUGGGCGAACGGGUGAGUAAUAUAUCGGAACGUGCCCAGUCGUGGGGGAUAACGUAGCGAAAGCUACGCUAAUACCGCAUACGAUCUAUGGAUGAAANCGGGGGAUCGCAAGACCUCGCGCGAUUGGAGCGGCCGAUAUCAGAUUAGGUAGUUGGUGAGGUAAAGGCUCACCAAGCCGACGAUCUGUAGCUGGUCUGAGAGGACGACCAGCCACACUGGGACUGAGACACGGCCCAGACUCCUACGGGAGGCAGCAGUGGGGAAUUUUGGACAAUGGGCGCAAGCCUGAUCCAGCAAUGCCGCGUGCAGGAUGAAGGCCUUCGGGUUGUAAACUGCUUUUGUACGGAACGAAACGGUGAGCUCUAAUACAGUUUGCUAAUGACGGUACCGUAAGAAUAAGCACCGGCUAACUACGUG
RNAcentral lists this ribosomal RNA (429 nucleotides) under uncultured bacterium. RNAcentral describes it as "bacterial SSU rRNA". It matches the Rfam family "Bacterial small subunit ribosomal RNA", at positions 82 to 507 of the family's 1533-position model. The record is from RNAcentral.